This is a non-coding RNA of Trichonephila inaurata madagascariensis, 73 nucleotides long. Lineage: Eukaryota; Metazoa; Arthropoda; Arachnida; Araneae; Nephilidae. The record is from the annotation of a GenBank genome assembly.
AUUCCUGUAAUGCAACGGAUAGCGUAUUGGAUUUCUCAUCCAAAGGUCGUGGGCUCGAAUCCCACCUGGGGUA